Molecule: long non-coding RNA, 546 nt
Organism: Bactrocera oleae (olive fruit fly)
Lineage: Eukaryota; Metazoa; Arthropoda; Insecta; Diptera; Tephritidae
Source: RefSeq, a predicted model, not a curated record
AUGAAGUUAAUAGUUCGUCAUAAUUAUUAUAUUCAUAGAAUUUGAAAGAUUAACACAUCUAUUUUAUAUUUAAUAUACAAACGAGAAAUAUAUUAUAUAACACAAAGAAGAGCUCGUGUCAGUUCACAAAUUAGGCUACUACUUAAGACGAUUGUUCUUCUGUUAUAAAUUAUUUACGAUGUCACUGCUGGACCAGCGUUUAGCGAUAUGAGCCUGCGAUAUGCGCUUAACUUGCAAUACAAGUAUUUUACUCUUCUAGUACGUGAUCAGCCGUUAUCAGCGUCGGCGACAAGAGAUAACUCCAACAACAGAAAGAACUGAAAUGUGUAUGCAUCAUAGUCAUAUGGUAUACCACAUGUAUAGAAGAUUGGAUUAUUGGAUAGAUUUCAAUUUCAGCAACAAAUAUGUGUGCAUUACAAAGCAGCAAUAAGUUUGGAAGCAAUAAGUUUUUAAAUUAGAUGUACUUAGACACUGAAAGUGCUCCUACUUGAGUUCGAGAACUCCGCUUUUUUUAGGACACUUGAAUAAAAGUGAUUAUAAAGUCAA